Molecule: transfer RNA, 78 nt
Filed under: Burkholderia arboris
Lineage: Bacteria; Pseudomonadati; Pseudomonadota; Betaproteobacteria; Burkholderiales; Burkholderiaceae
Description: tRNA-Arg
Source: RNAcentral
UCCGGCUAUGGCGCGGCGGUGCCGUCCGCCGCGUCCUGCGCGGCCAGCGCGUCGAGUUCGGCCUGCUCGAAGCCGGCG